Chiloscyllium plagiosum (whitespotted bambooshark) is the source of this 622-nucleotide non-coding RNA. The record is from RefSeq and is a predicted model, not a curated record. Lineage: Eukaryota; Metazoa; Chordata; Chondrichthyes; Orectolobiformes; Hemiscylliidae.
GCUGUCAAAGUCACCACAGCUCUUUGCAGGGUUUUUCUGUAGACAUUUGCAGCACAUUUCUGAAACAAAAACAGAAAUUGCUGGUGAAACUGAGGUCUAGCUGUAUCUGCAUGAACAAAAGCAGAAUUAACAUUUCAAGUCCAGUGACUCUUCAUCAGAACUAUUCACUCUUCCUGAUCUCUUUACACCAGAAAGCAGUCACCAGCUAGCAGGAUGGAGACACAAGGCAAAAUCAGCAUUCAACUUCGUCAGAACUUCAGACGUACCCAUGGUGCAGGGUGCCAUUGACUGCACACACGUAAUUUUGUGGGCAAUGCAUAUCACUGCUACCCUAUUCCAGAAUCAAAAGAAACUCCAUUCGCUGAUCUCCAGCCUGUGUGUGCCCACGGACAAUGAAACAUGGUUCUUUGUUCCACCGAAAUUCCUUUUCCGAGGGUGGAUGAGAGAAUGUCAACUUUGAGACAAUUACAGAACUGUUCUUUAAAGUGUUUCCAGAAUAUGAGCAUAAAAUAUUGUGGUAAACUCAUGAGGGCUGGCUAUUUUCCUCUGACAAAAAACAUUGUUCUGUAUCUAAAAGCGUGAAACAAUUCUUAGCUGUCAUUUUUUAUUAAACAUGUGCUUA